This is a long non-coding RNA of Ricinus communis (castor bean), 1728 nucleotides long. RefSeq lists it as uncharacterized. The transcript is spliced from 3 exons. The record is from RefSeq and is a predicted model, not a curated record. Lineage: Eukaryota; Viridiplantae; Streptophyta; Magnoliopsida; Malpighiales; Euphorbiaceae.
AAUGCAUCCAAGGGAUCUAUGAAAGGAAAGGCAGAAAAUAUUCUCCCAACUUGCUCUUGAUUGUUGCAGCUUCUAUCGAGCGUUGAGCAGAUGCUAGCAACAGAAGGCAUCCGAUAGACCUCUUGGUUUCUAAGAACAGAUUUCGCAUCAGCUUCUUCUGUACGGAGUCUAGGUGCUUGCUGUCGGACAAUUCUCCAAGAAGCACACACCUCCAGGGACCCAACCACAGAUCUUCCAUUUUCCUGGAUCAUGAAGGCAAGACAUCUAGUAAGUACUAAGCAAAUAAGUUCUAAUAUCCCAGAGAUGCAUAUGAUGGAUUGAGAUCCCACUAUUAGCAUUCUCCUUCAACAGGCAUUAACUGAAGCUCAGGAAUAAAUAUUGUUUUCUAUCUCCACCAGAGCUUAGGUAAAAUAAUACAUGCAGACACUGAAACUGAAGAUGAAUGACAAGGUUUUGAAACUAUUUUCUCCAUCGUAUGUCAUUAUACAAGUGCCCAUGUAUGUAAUACAAAAAAAAAGAACAUACAAAUACAAUUCAAAGAACUUGGUAAAUUAUUUAAGGUUGAAUUGAGUUGUAUUGAAUCGAGACAAAUACCUCAGCAGUUUACCAAGUUGAAAAUCCAGCUUCUUUCUCCUCAUCCACCAUAAAGUUCUAUUCUCUUUGGUGUCCUCCAGAGGAAAGAUUGAUGAAGAUAAGUAAUUCUCCUCCAAUAUAAGUUUAAAUGCAGGAGAAACUUCAUCAAUGACAGUGAAACCCCAGGGACAGUGCCAAUGUUUAUCCAAGUCAUUGCUUUCUGGAAAUUCUUCAGAGCCAGGAUUUGGUGCAUCAUCAUCUGAGGUUUCUGACAAUUUUUUGCAAAUUAUUGAGUAUUCAGUAAGUUAUGCAUACAAUUACUAAGUGGCCAUGUGACAAACUGUAACUCUCUGUUUAUAUUUUAUGUUAAGUACCUUCUGAAAUCAAAUCCACUGGCAGAAGCAUCAUAAUAGGAUGGCUCUUAGAAUUCAAGCGUGACAACAGCAUCCAUGCACAAACACGUGAAGGAUACAUGAGUAAUUCUUGUAAUAAAGUUGCAUAAGGAUCUCCAAUCAAACUUAUGCAAACAACCAUUGUGGAAGGAAGGCUUGAGAAAAAAUCUGUCACAAAAUGUUCCAUAUCUUGAAGAGACUUGGGAGCAAGACUGCAGCACAGCAUAAAAGAAGAAAAUCAGAACGCAUUUUGAACCAUGGAAAGCCUCAGUAUAAUGUGACAGCUAAAACCUUGAGCAACUAUGUUUUUGACACAUUCACGUCUAAUCGAGAAACAUGGCCAGAAGGUUCAAGAAGCAAAGUCCAAAGGACAGCUCUUCAGACAAAUUAGCCAGAAAACUCAUGAGAAGAAGAAAAUCUAAAAUCUCGAGCAAGCAGAUGAUGUGUGCAUGUCCGAAAUUCCCUCAACAGUAAUCCUAAUUCUCUUCCCACCUGCAAUCUUAGAGUGUUAUUUGUCCUGUUAAUUCUUUUGGUGCAGACCGCAAAUCUUUAAGGAAUUAUUUUCCCCUAGCCAGUGUCUCUACGUGAUUUUUCCUUCCAUUAUCCCCUCUCCUAUACAUAAGUAAAAUAGCCCUUCAACAAUUCCUUAACUCUGCUCCCAUUUUCCUCCCUCUCCCAAACAUAAGCAUAAAUUGUAUUAACUUCUCCAAUCCUUGUGACAGUACAAUCUUCUUUAAGCAGCAAAAUAUUUAUUCAAUUUUUU